UGUCUUCACAUGCAAUCUCUCUCUGAAUGUGCAAUGUCUUUCCUGCUCGGGAGUGCUGCGUCCUUCACAGUGGAUUGGUUCCUCUCUCGGAGCAGAGAAUGAUGCAUUCUGGUCUUCGGAUACUCAUCUUGCUUGCAGACCUACGAGUGGGAACUGUCACAGGUGCUGAGCCCAGAGGCUGGCUGAUUCUGCGCUUGGAAGCCAAGCAGGGAUAUGUUGGCAUCUCAGUUAAAGAACGUUUGCACUGUGGAGUUCCACCCCAGAAAUAA
RNAcentral lists this long non-coding RNA (269 nucleotides) under Dromaius novaehollandiae (emu). Its description in RNAcentral is "lncRNA (ENSDNVG00000004889.1)". The record is from RNAcentral. Lineage: Eukaryota; Metazoa; Chordata; Aves; Casuariiformes; Dromaiidae.